GGGCCUAUAGCUCAGGUGGAUAGAGCAGUGGUUUCCUAAACCGCGUGCCAGAGGUUCGAGUCCUCUUAGGCCCA
This 74-nucleotide transfer RNA is filed under the name bacterium. RNAcentral describes it as "tRNA-Arg". It matches the Rfam family "tRNA". From Rfam's summary of the family: Transfer RNA (tRNA) molecules are approximately 80 nucleotides in length. Their secondary structure includes four short double-helical elements and three loops (D, anti-codon, and T loops). Further hydrogen bonds mediate the characteristic L-shaped molecular structure. tRNAs have two regions of fundamental functional importance: the anti-codon, which is responsible for specific mRNA codon recognition, and the 3' end, to which the tRNAs corresponding amino acid is attached (by aminoacyl-tRNA synthetases). tRNAs cope with the degeneracy of the genetic code in two manners: having more than one tRNA (with a specific anti-codon) for a particular amino acid; and 'wobble' base-pairing, i.e. permitting non-standard base-pairing at the 3rd anti-codon position. The record is from RNAcentral. RNAcentral also lists the same sequence under 2 other names.